Molecule: ribosomal RNA, 253 nt
Filed under: uncultured bacterium
Lineage: Bacteria
Description: partial 16S ribosomal RNA
Rfam family: Bacterial small subunit ribosomal RNA
Source: RNAcentral
UACGUAGGGUCCGAGCGUUGUCCGGAAUUAUUGGGCGGAAAGAGCUCGUAGGCGGUUUGUCGCGUCGAAUGUGAAAACCCGGGGCUCAACCCCGGGCCUGCAUUCGAUACGGGCAGACUAGAGUUCGGUAGGGGAGUCUGGAAUUCCUGGUGUAGCGGUGAAAUGCGCAGAUAUCAGGAGGAACACCGGUGGCGAAGGCGGGACUCUGGGCCGAUACUGACGCUGAGGAGCGAAAGCGUGGGGAGCGAACAGG